GUGAGCUAAUGGGAGAAGGAGUUCUGUAGGGACUGAACAGCCCAGCCUUCAGUAAUCACAAGUGGAAUGCUGUCAGUCCAUCUGAGAUCGGGCAAUGGCGCAGAGCAAACAACAGACACUUCGAGAAACGCAGAUGCGUCAUCUGGAGGGUCAGGACUACUAGAGGGCUUCUCUGGAUAAAAGCCAAAGUUGGACCAACACAACUGCACUGGAACCCAUAGCAGUGACAGAAAGUAGGAGGACAGAAGGACAGGAGGGAAAAGUCAGCAAAGAGAGCCUGAAGAGAACUACUUGGAGGGUGACUGGAGGAGAGGCUGCUGAAAU
Molecule: long non-coding RNA, 324 nt
Organism: Eublepharis macularius
Lineage: Eukaryota; Metazoa; Chordata; Lepidosauria; Squamata; Eublepharidae
Exons: 3
Source: RefSeq, a predicted model, not a curated record